GGCCUGAUGGUCUAGUAGUAUGAUUCCUUGUUAGGGUGUUAGCACAAUGUCGAGGAGGCCCUGGGUUCAAUUCCCAGUCAGGCCC
RNAcentral lists this transfer RNA (85 nucleotides) under Crucibulum laeve. It matches the Rfam family "tRNA". From Rfam's summary of the family: Transfer RNA (tRNA) molecules are approximately 80 nucleotides in length. Their secondary structure includes four short double-helical elements and three loops (D, anti-codon, and T loops). The record is from Rfam by way of RNAcentral. Lineage: Eukaryota; Fungi; Basidiomycota; Agaricomycetes; Agaricales; Nidulariaceae.